This is a non-coding RNA of Agrilus planipennis (emerald ash borer), 56 nucleotides long. Lineage: Eukaryota; Metazoa; Arthropoda; Insecta; Coleoptera; Buprestidae. The record is from Rfam.
GUUUAGUGGUCAGAACAUUGGUGCGUAAAGCCAAAGGUCCCGGGUUCGAUUCCCGG